UGCAAAUGGCGAAUAACCAUGCUUCCUGUCAUCUGUGACAAUGGGAUACUGUUAUCAAAUACUACUGUCAUGGUCCUUGGGAAUACUAUGGAUGUCUCAUUUCAGUUCCCAGCCUGGCCCCUGCAGUGGACUCAGCAACUGGAUCUACCUAUUAGAACCAAGGUUGGAGCCAAAGUUUCUAAAACUGACAUAGCUCUAGAAAUUUAUGAGCACUUUCAGUACAUGAAAUAGUAUUUUAGGACUGUGAAAAAACGUAAGUAAUCACUGCUUUCUAAUAGAUACAAUAAUUCAAAUUUUAGCAAGAUCAAACUUUACUUUUUGCCUGUGAUAAACCUUUAUGAGUUUGUAAACAAAUCACAAAUUUGAUUUUUUUUAAAUUUAGGAUUGUACUCCUAGCAUUUGUUUUGUAACACUAAUGAAGGAAAGAGACAAUGCAAACCAUUUCAACAUCACUAUUUUGAGCUUUGGUAUGGUUACAUUUAUUUCAGAGGUAAUGGGGUGUGUGUGUGUGUGUGUGUGUGUGUGUGUGUGUGACGCUGAAAAGUUCUGGGGGCCGGGUGCAGUGGCUCACACCUGUAAUCCCAGCACUUUGGGAGGCCAAGGCAGGCAGAUCACUUGAGGCCAGGAGUUUGAGACCAGCCUGGCCAAAAUGGUGAAACCCAAUCUCUACAAAAAAUACAAAAAUUAGCCAGGCAUGGUGUCAGGUUCCUGUAAGGCUGAGGCAAGAGAAUUGCUUGAACCCAAGAGGCAGAGGUUUCAGUGAGCCUAGAUCGUGCCACUACACCUCCAGCCUGGGCUACAA
This 802-nucleotide long non-coding RNA is filed under the name Homo sapiens (human). Its description in RNAcentral is "HSALNT0091243". The record is from RNAcentral. Lineage: Eukaryota; Metazoa; Chordata; Mammalia; Primates; Hominidae.